AUAAAAUGUAAGUAGCCAAGGAAAGGAACUUAUUGGUACUUGUACCAUAAGGUUGCAAGAGCACAAUUAUUUGAAAUGCAUUUUCCAUAGGGUACCACUAGUGUUUCAUAUUUUUUUUCUCGAAGACUUUACAAACUAGGAAAAAAGGGGUAGCAGUUCCUGUUACUAGAAAUGCCAGUGUUGCAUUACAACUAAAAAAAUAUAGGGUCAUGAGGCUCAAACUGACUUAAAAUGGAGUUGAAAAAGAUCGCCAAUUUUUUUCGCUCAACGAAAAAGGGCAUAUUUUUAAUGGCUCCGACCUGCAGAAAUGGAAGAUAUUUUCUAUACUUCAUAAAAUGUGGAUAUGAUUUUCCGCAAUUUUUAAAACCUAUUGGAUAAGCUUUCUAUUAAAUGUAAUUCCAAUCUGUAUCAACCAAUCAGAAGCCGUAUAGGAUUUUAUUCUGAGUACCAUCUUGGGUAAAAAACUUGCCGGUAAAAUGUGAACAAAUAAUUGGGUCUUGUAACCAUAACAUCCAAUUUCAAGUGAAAAUUCAAAUCAGAAAAAACUCCCAUUAUAAGUAAUCAUAUAUUAUCUUUCUAAAU
RNAcentral lists this long non-coding RNA (582 nucleotides) under Mytilus galloprovincialis (Mediterranean mussel). Lineage: Eukaryota; Metazoa; Mollusca; Bivalvia; Mytilida; Mytilidae. The record is from RNAcentral.